CUCUCUCUCUCUCUCUCUCUCUCUCUCUCUCUACACUUGACUGUAUACCAGCGCAGUCCAAAUCUCCGGCCACAACUUACCCCAAAAAAUAAUCUUCAGCCACAUACACAGCCAUUGCCAUGCCGAUGUUUAGCACAUAGCUGAUUCCGUUUCAGAUCUACACUUUUAGGUUACGGUUUCUGUUUGUUUAUCAAUCAAGUAAAAACAUUGGCUUUUAUUGUUAGCUUCGAGUUUUGUCAUCGAAUACAAGGUCGGUGUUUGUGUUCCAUGAUGACCUACGAUUAUUGAGGUAUCAUUCCCUUCUUUGUCCUCAUCUCUGCAAUUGUAUGCAUGCCUAGGUAAGGGAGUUCUUUUCUGAAUUCAUUACUCGUUCUGUGUUGAGUGUGUUCCAAAUUAAUGGUUUGUGACCUGACUACCAGAAAUCACACAAGGUAUACACCUACGGUAGGAUCCGUCAUCUUGGCAGGAAUUCUUUUAAAAUUGGGAACCUAUGGUUGUAGAUCUAGGGUUUUCUUUGAAUUUUGUUUCUAUGUACCUGAUUUGCCCGCCUUGCAUGUGUUUGUUAGUGCUAAUUUCUCUGGGCAUUGAUUGUUAUUGUGAUUGUUGGUAUUGAUUUUGCAAAGAGGUAAAGUUGGUUAUAUGGUUCUUCGGUUGGUGUGUGAGAGAGAGAGGGGGAAAAAAAGGUCAAGCAAAGAAGAAGAAUUGAAGGAAUGAAUUUGGGUUAUUGAAUCUUGAUUUGCUUCUCUUGGUAAGAUGUUACUCUAGCAGCUAGUUUGAUACCAAUUAUUAGUUUCAGUGGUUUGAUUUUAUGGGAUCUAUAAUGAAACCAUCAUAACUUGGGUUAAGAAAUUAUGUAGUUAGAUUUGGUAGAAAUUGCUAAAACUUAAUUUGAAAGUAAAGAACCUAUAGAUUUUGACUAAAAAUAUGUUGAUAGUAUAAGUUACCCACUGAAUUGGUUGUUCAAGAGCUCGAAAUAUACCUUAGUUGUGCUGAAACUUGGGACUCGAAUAUGAAAUCAGUUGACUAAUUACUGCAAUCAUGUUGGGUAUUCCGGAAAAUGUGUUUUUAUAUUCUAAAAGUUA
Long non-coding RNA from Rhododendron vialii, 1082 nucleotides. RefSeq lists it as uncharacterized. The record is from RefSeq and is a predicted model, not a curated record. Lineage: Eukaryota; Viridiplantae; Streptophyta; Magnoliopsida; Ericales; Ericaceae. The transcript is spliced from 3 exons.